AGAUGAUGGCUCAGACUUCUAGUCCCACACUGAGUGCCUUUGCCUCGCUACAGCCUCUAGAUGUGUUGGGAUCAGCCUCACCCCAUAGUGUAACUCAUACUUCAGGACAGCCGGAGUCUCCAAGCGGACAAGAUUCACCCACACCUGAGUGGCUUUUGACACUUUCGUUGGCAAAAGAGCUAACAAAAAUGGCCAGGGCUUCUAAAUUGUCGGCUACAUCAUCUUCUGAGACUAAGAAGAAGAAAAAGAAAAGUUCUGCAAAGGCAGCAAAAUCAGUACAGGACAGAGUGCGAUCACCUGCUGCAGUCUCUAUUUCUGCUCCUCCACCAAUGCUACAAUCCUCUGUACCGAUGGCUGUACCGGUCCCGAUGCAAGAUGCAGCUCCAAUUGCAUCAACGUCAGAGGGUGAAAUCAGGGACGCUUCCCUGAUUCAACCACCCUCUUUGCCUCUUUGGCCUUGCCAAGAUCAGUAUCAAUCCCCUCGUUAUGGAACGUCUCAGUCACGCCUCCCCAGCUCCCUGGACUCCGUCUCCUCAAUGCCAUUGGUACAGAGGGAUCAUACCUCUAGGCAUUAUGGGGGGCAUCAGUACCGAUCCAGAUCCUCGUGGUCUGACUGGGAUAGGCACUCGGAAUGGGACGUGCCUUAUGAGAGGUCUCAAGAUUGGGGCAUGGAUCGUAUGGACCAAUACCACCAGCCAAACUAUCCUCACCGGGAGUUUUACAAUCGCAGUGCUCGUCGAUAUCGACCAGCACCUUUGGUCACGGCAUCCAGAGCGCAAGAUGAUGGUGGUAUCCUCCUAGCUCCCCCUCCCAUAGUAACACCCCAACCAAUGCGUCCACAUAGGCAGCCAUCACACCUGAUCUCAUUUGACCAACCAGUGCCCUUGCAGCCUCCUACAGUUCACCAAUUGACUGAGGUUCCUUCAGCAUUGGGGGCUCCGUCGCACUCAACAGGGGUGCAGGACAUGCAGCACCAUAGGUUGGACACUGCAGAGGCUUCUCCACUCUCGGAUACUGACGGAUAUCAGUCAGACUCGACUUCACAGUCUUCACUGUACCUGUCCAUCCCUUCACCAGAUGCCGCAGUGGGAUCCCGGGAUGCAAUUUCCCCAUCUGAGGAUUUGGAGCAGUUCACAGGUCAGGUCAUUCGCAUGGCCCAGUCAUUUGGGCUUGAGACAGAGCAAUCCGUCUGUCCUAUCCAAGACCCGGUGUUUGAUGUUGUGAAUAUUGAACCGGUGGCAAUUCCGUUCCUUCCAACUCUGCAUCAUACCGUACAACAGUCAUGGAAGGCCCCCUCAUCCAUGACUCCCACAUCUGAACGACUUGAGGGGAUGUAUCGCGUUCAGGACAAGGAUGCUGGUUUUCUCUUCACUCACCCAGCGCCGAACUCUGUCAUUGUUGAGGCAGCGCAGGGUAAAUCAAGGAGAUUCCACUCCUCUCCGGUGGAGAAGGAGGGUCGCCGUCUCGAUUUACUAGGCAGACGGCUGUAUUCCUCGGCAGCUUUGGGAAUUAAGGUGUCCAACUAUCAGGCAGUUAUGUCGGGUUAUCAACUCUUCCUCUGGAAGAAGAUCAGGCACCUCUUCGACCACCUUCCUGAAGAUAAAAGAGACCUUGCUCAGGUGUUGCAUGGUGAAGCCAUGCAACUAGGCAGGCAGCAGCUCAACACCUCCCGGCACCAGGUAGACUGCAAUGCCAAGGUUCUGGUCGGUGCAGUUGCUCUAAGGCGCCGCGCCUGGCUGAGGUCUGCAGGUCUAUCCCAAGAGGCUCAGUCUCGUAUCGAGGACUUGCCGUUUGAUGGCCACAGUCUCUUCAAUGCUAAGACUGAUAAGGUCAUGGAUUCAGUCCAGAAGGCGCGAAAUAGAGCACGGCGCAUGGGGCUGAGACAGCCACCACCACACAUGCAACGCCGCUGGUAUCGUCACUGUGCAAGACAAUAUUCCUACCGCCAAUCAGGAUCAAGGCAGGCAUCUCAACAGCAGGCUCCUGUACCGAGACAGCAGUACUCCUCAGCCUCAUUUCGGAGUUUUCGCCGUGAAGGCAACAGGGGCAACAAGCAUCACCUGUGAAUCCCUCCCCCUUGCUUUGUCCUUCUGCACUACCUCCUUUUUUUAGAACUCGCCUGUCUUCUUUUCUGCUAGUCUGGACCAACAUAACAUCAGACUCUCCAUUGUCCCGAAGGGCUACAGGAUCGAGUUUGAUGCCCUCCUUCCACUCGGGGCCCUCUGACCAACAGCUCCCUCACAGGUCCUUUGGCAGGAAGUACAAACCCUCUUGGCAAAAGGUGACAUAGAACGCAUCCUGCCAUGUCAUCUCAGAGAUGGGUUUUUAUUCACAGUACUUCACAAUACCGAAGAGGAAUGGAGGGCUUCAUUUGAUCCUGGAUCUCAGAGAUAUCAACACCUCGUUUAUGCCUAGGAAGGUCUGCAUCAUCUCCCUAUCAUCGAUCCUACCACUGCUUUCUAAGGGAGACUGGUUUGCCUCAAUUGACCUGAAGGACACCUAUUUUCACAUCACAAUCGAGUAGUCUUACAAAUGUUUUCUUCAAUUCAUGUAGGAACGGUAGGGCCUGCCAAUUUCAAGUGUUGCCCUUCGGCAUCACUACUGCCCUGAGGGUCUUCAUGAAGUACAUGGCAGUAGUGUGCUCCUACUUUCCUGUGCAUGGGAUGGAGAUCUACCUAUAUAUAGAUGACUGGCUACUGGUAGCAUCAAGCAGGUGCCAGCUUCUUCAGUCAAUUGAGAUGACCUGCAGUCUCCUAAGCAAUUUGGGCCUCUACCUCAGUGAGGAGAAGUCACAUCUGCAGCCUCUGCAAAAGCUCCAGUUCAUUGGUCCUCUCCUCAACUCAUAGUUUGGUCAGGCCUGUUCUUAAGUUUCCCUAGCAGCGAAGUUACUCGCUUGGAGGACUACCACGGCAUUGCCAAUGCUUCACUUCUUUGUCUGAUGGCUAUGACAACAUCGGUCAUGUAUUACACCCACUUGUACAUGCCGAAUUUUCAGAACUGGUUCCUCCACAAUUUCAAUCGCCUGCCAUACUCAGCUUCAGCCUCCUUCAUGGGUAAGGAAUUUGCUGCACUGGUGGACAAUGCGAGAUCACCUUGUGUAAGGUGUGACUUUCCUUCAGCCCGCUCCUUCUUGAAUAGUGAUUGUGGGUGUGUCCCUCUUGGGAUGGGGAGUCAUUGCGGGGGCCUCACAGUACACAGUUGGUGGUCACCCAGGGAGGCCACCAAACACAUCACCCAGCUGAAGUUGAGGGCAUUAAAGCUGGACCUGGUGGGCAGACUGGUCCAGGUAACAUCAGACAAUACUGCCAUUGUUACUUAUGUAAACAAGCAGGGGGAACAAGAUCACUCCCUUUUAUCGUCUUCAUUAUUCACCUCAUUGGUGCGUGUCCUGUUGGUUCAGUCUGAUUGUGCUCCAUGUGGCUGGUGCAGACAGUGUACCUGCCAAUCAGCUCAGCUGGACAUUGCUGAUCUCCCAUGAGUGUGAAAUGGACAAGAACAUCCUGCCUGAUCUCUUUUUGGUGGUGGGGCACACCAGAAAUUGGCUUAUUCACUAGUAAUGACAAUACUGUUUGCUUGGUGUUCUGCUGCUGAGUGGAUCUGGAGCCGGAAUCUAUGGCAACACCUUUGCACUCAUGUGGACAGGGGCGCUGUUCUACAUGUUUCACUCAUCACCAAAGUCCUGGCAAAGAUAGGGACAGAUGGGACAUAGUGUAUCCUGAUCACCCCAUGCUGGUCUUACCAGCUUUGGUUUGCCAUGCUUCUGCUCCUAGCGAAGGGCAAUUGCAUUCAGCUUCCAGCAGUUCUCACCUAGGAACAAGGCAGAGUUCAGCAGCCGAACCUUCAAAAGCUCUGCAUGACAACAUGGAGGAUCCAGUAAUUGGUACUGACCAGGACAUCCCUUCUUGGAUCCAACACAUUCUCAAUGCUGCACGCAAGCCUGCCGUGAGACAGACAUAUGCCUGGUUCUUCAUCUUCUCACAUCUGAAGGUAAAGCAGUUACUCAGAGGGGUCCGGAACCUAUUUUGAUGGAUGGUACUGCAUUGGAGUCUCUUCGUCGUCUUGGAGACACAAUCCUCUAACCCAUUCUGACUGCCGUUACAUUGAUGCAGCCUGGUUAAGGCCAUCUACAUUCAUUCAGCACCACCAGUUGGAUGUUCGAGCUAGAUCUGAUAGCUUCUUCGGGUGCACAGUCCAUCCCUCACUGACCCACCUCCAAAACAAGUUGCCACCCAUGUGAAAGCUCUGAAGGAAAGGAGAGAGAAGCUGAAGGAAUCCAAAGAAGACUUGGAAUGCAGAAGUCAGGC
RNA transcript from Elgaria multicarinata webbii, 4304 nucleotides. It is a transcript of the gene named zinc finger protein RFP-like, with no coding region annotated. NCBI's taxonomy places the organism in Eukaryota, Metazoa, Chordata, Lepidosauria, Squamata, Anguidae. The record is from RefSeq and is a predicted model, not a curated record. The transcript is spliced from 3 exons.